CCCGUUACAAUUCUUUUCUAUCUUGCUUAGUUUUAGAGAUAGUUUUACCAGAAACAGUAUUCCGCCAUCUUGCGUUUUUUUUCGACCUAAUUAGUGCAGUUUUGGUAACUUGAAAAUUAAUUAAGAGAAGAAUCUUUUGUACGUGACGUAACACGCGCUCAAAACUAACGAAUGUACUUUCCCCUUGGUUAUUAUACCAUAUUAAUUUUUUAUAAUUUUUUUUAUUUUUGGUACGGUUUUCAUGCGGUAAACAAACAUAAAAAAGUAUGUUUAGUGCUCUAUCUGUAAAAGUAUACUGAAUGAAGAGAUUUUAGAUGGUACGCCAAAGAGAAAAUGAUGUCUGAAGUU
Paramuricea clavata is the source of this 348-nucleotide non-coding RNA. The record is from the annotation of a GenBank genome assembly. Lineage: Eukaryota; Metazoa; Cnidaria; Anthozoa; Malacalcyonacea; Plexauridae.